CUUAUCGAUGGAGAAAGGUAACAUGACCUAUUUGGAUACCUUUACUUCGUCGUACUCGUUCAACCAUUGUAAUCGAUAGGGGUAUGUCAAUCCUAAUCUCUCCACAAGCAUGGUGCUUGCUACAGUUGCACAGCUACCUCCAUUGAUGAUCAUGCUAUACACCUUACUAUUGAUUAGACAUCGGGUACGGAAUAUGUUCUCCUAUUGUUCGUGUUUUUUUCCCCUGACUUGCAAGUUGAGGGCUCUUCGUAGAACUAGGGUACUACUCCAGUUGGGAGUUCCGAUAACAAAGUACUUGUAAACAAAAAGGUUAGUGAAAGCAAUUAACUCUUCCUCACUUUCGCUCAUGUUUACCUCAUAGUCUCUCACUUUACACCUUCUUCUAU
RNAcentral lists this long non-coding RNA (386 nucleotides) under Carica papaya (papaya). Its description in RNAcentral is "long non-coding RNA (CPAP_LNC010650)". Lineage: Eukaryota; Viridiplantae; Streptophyta; Magnoliopsida; Brassicales; Caricaceae. The record is from RNAcentral.